UUGGUAUGCACUGGCUUUACUGAUUCCUCCUUCUUGACGAACCGUGAUGUCAUUAAUUUGGUGUUGCGGGAAAUCAGGACUGUUACUUUGAAAAAAUUAGAGUGUUUAAAGCAGGCUAACGCUUGAAUACAUUAGCAUGGAAUGAUGAAAUAGGACGUUUGAUCCUAUUUUGUUGGUUUCUAGGAUUGACGUAAUGAUUAAUAGGGAUAGUUGGGGGCAUUAGUACUCAAUUGUCAGAGGUGAAAUUCUUGGAUUUAUUGAAGACUGACUACUGCGAAAGCAUUUGCCAAGGAUGUUUUCAUUAAUCAAGAACGAAAGUUAGGGGAUCGAAGACGAUCAGAUACCGUCGUAGUCUUAACCAUAAACUAUGCCGACUAGGGAUCGGAUGAUGUUAAUUUUUUAAUGACUCAUUCGGCGCCUUACG
Molecule: ribosomal RNA, 424 nt
Filed under: uncultured Glomeromycotina
Lineage: Eukaryota; Fungi; Glomeromycota
Description: SSU rRNA
Rfam family: Eukaryotic small subunit ribosomal RNA
Source: RNAcentral